GGACGUAUCAGCGGGAGAGAUCGACCGGGUUGCAAGCCCGGGAGGCGCCGAAGGAGCAACCGCCCCGGAAACUCUCAGGCAAAGGGACCGCGAUACGAUC
This 100-nucleotide non-coding RNA is filed under the name Altererythrobacter epoxidivorans. Its description in RNAcentral is "Glycine sequence". It matches the Rfam family "Glycine riboswitch aptamer". Rfam says of the family: This family represents the bacterial glycine riboswitch. Glycine riboswitches usually consist of two metabolite-binding aptamers domains with similar structures in tandem. The aptamers cooperatively bind glycine to regulate the expression of downstream genes. Lineage: Bacteria; Pseudomonadati; Pseudomonadota; Alphaproteobacteria; Sphingomonadales; Erythrobacteraceae. The record is from Rfam by way of RNAcentral.